This 209-nucleotide unclassified non-coding RNA is filed under the name uncultured fungus. RNAcentral describes it as "sequence contains ITS1, 5.8S rRNA gene". The record is from RNAcentral. Lineage: Eukaryota; Fungi.
UCUAUAACCGGGUGUGGCUGCGGCCUCCGGGGGCGUGGGCAGAUGCCCUCUCUCCCGGGUGGUAGAGGUAAAACUUGCACGCGCCACAUGUCUGAAUCCUUUUUUUACGAGCACCUUUCGUUCUCCUUCGGUGGGGUGACCUGCCGUUGGAACCCAUCAAAACUCUUUUUUGCAUCUAGCAUUACCUGUUCUGAUACAAACAAUCGUUA